Molecule: long non-coding RNA, 2887 nt
Filed under: Sus scrofa (pig)
Lineage: Eukaryota; Metazoa; Chordata; Mammalia; Artiodactyla; Suidae
Description: lncRNA (ENSSSCG00040002627.1)
Source: RNAcentral
GAAAGGAAACGCUUCACUGCUGCGUUGCAGUUAAAACAGUGCUUUAGUGGUGGCGCUGAAAUGCUGGUUUGGCACCGGCCAGCCUAGUCCCGAUUUUGAACUCCUGGGGAAGCGCCUUUUUGAGUUUCUUCGCAGGGUUGGGGAGCCCUCAGCAUCUUGCCCCUUCCUUACCCCCACUUGGUUGGAGGGUCAUUUUGCCCCCACCGCAUGAUUUCUCUACUUGAACCCCUGCUCUGCAAACAUUAUUCGAAACCCUGCUGCAUUCGCCUUCUCUGUGUCCUUGGGUAAUGCUGAGGCGGGGGCGGGCGCACCUGUGUCCAGCUGCCUUGAAAGCAUGCCGCCCGAACUGGGAAGGGCACGUGGCCACCAGUGACCAGUGGUGCUACCCGUUUGGGGCGGCACCUUCUCCGGAGUGGGGGUACCGGCUCCAGAGGACAGAGCAGCCUGGCUGGCUGUGUCGCUUCUCUAAGUUGCCUCUCCCAGCGUGGGCUCCAGCCAUUACCAUUUCUGAGAGCAAACCUUGCCUCCACCGCUCCUAGCUGCUCUGACUUUGCCAACCUUAACUCACAACGUACCCGCGGAUCACUUUUCUGCAGAGGCCUAACGGGCUGGCCAGGAAGCCUCAGCAGAUAAAUUAUUUACAGUGUUUAAUUAUCAUCAUAUAGAUUUAUUAAACUUCUUGGUUACCUAGGAACCCAUGUAGCUGCUGCCCAGAGUUUGCUAAACUUUGAAUAAUAGAUGUCUUGUUCGAAGACAAAAUCCCUUUGUCCCUGCAGCUCCCGUCUCCACGAUGCCUGUGUGUGUGUGUGUGUCAUGGGCGGACUUGUUUGUGUGCCGGUAAACGGUUAACAACCGGCUCUUGGGGCGGACGACAAACUCCAGUUUGUAGUGUUUGCUGAUGAGUGCAGUGUAAAUACACACACCAUGGCCAGCAGGAAGGUAGGAAACGGAGUCAGGAUGGAAUGUACAGUCUUCUAUUGUUUACGUAUGUUAAGUCUGAGUGUGUGUGAUUAUUUAUAUUAUAUAUGCAAAUACAUGUAUAUGUAAUAUUUCUACCCUGCAUAGUAUAAAUAUAGACAUAUAAAUAGUCUCAAGAGCACAGAUAAUAUACAAUUAUCAUACUAAAAAUCACGUGAAAAUUGUGUAAAUUUUAGUAAAUCUAAUAAAAUUUAGCAAAAAAUGAGAUGUGCACUCCCAUUUCACUGAGUAUAUAUGAAAAAUAUAUAUACUAUUAUGUAUUUAUAUCAUAUAUAUAAGUAUAUAUAUAAUAUUUCCACUAUCCAGACACAGCAUAAAUACAGACUUAUAAAUGACCUCAGAGCAUAGUUCAUUUAAUUUUAAACAUACUAAAAUUAUUCACAAGUACUGGAUUUUGAGUUUCUCUUACCUUUGAUUUUGCUAUAGCUUAUUUUUUAAAUCAAAGCAUAGUCGAUUUACGACGUGUUAAUUUCUGCUGUACAGUGAAAAGUGCAUGUAUUCUUUUUCAUACUCGUUCCCGUCGUGGUUUCUCACAGGGUGCUGAGCGAAGCUCCCUGCGCCGCACAGCAGGGCCUUGUCGUUUAUCCACCUGAUACAUAGUAGUUGGCACCUGCGAGCCCCAAAGUCCGACUUCAUCCUUCCCCCACCUUCCCUUCCCCUUGGCAGCCGCAAGUCCCUUCUCUUCUGUGGCUUAUUUAAUGGUGAGUUUAUUUAAUUGAAUGUUUAAUAACGAGUGUGUUCAUCAACCGGCUCAUAAAAUCCCUGGAAGCGUAGCUCUCUUGCGUUGGUCGGACAGGGCUGCAGCCCAGCACCAUGCUGCCAGCUUCCCGCUGCAUCCUAUGUUCAGAUGCACUUCAUGAUCUGUGACUCACUCAGCCUCACGGCUAACAGGCCAUCUCUGCACAGUUUUCUGCUGGGGUGUGAUGAGCCGGUUGGCUUGCUGCUAAGUGUCCUCGACAGCAAGCAGACGCAUGUACCCUGGCUGGUGCAUCCCAGACAAUUCUGUUGUACUGAUAUUAAGGACAACAGUAUUUUGCCAGAAGCUAUAACGAGAUGAUUCUGUAACAACAGCAUGGUGACACCAGACUCUGUUUUGCAAUUUUCUUUAAUAUUUAUGCUGGAUAAAUAAUUUAUCUCUUUUCUUCUUCUUCUUUUUUUUUUUUUUUUUUUCAUCUCGGGUGUGUUGAUAUAGACAGGUGCUAGGUUUUCUGAAUGACUAAAGCAAGGAUUUGGUUAUUCCCUACCCCCCCCCCCGCCCCCCAAAAAACAGAUGCGUCAGCAGAGUCGAGCCUCUGGGACUUGUCCUGCAUCCCAUCUCCUAAUACGAGCUAAUCAGAUCCUUUAGGAUCAGCCCCACAUUUGAAGGGAGGCACCUACUGAAGUGACAUUUUUGCACGCAUUGUAACAUCAGAACCUUCGUAUACCAUGGUGUUUGAAAACCCAAAAAGUCACGGCCCCUGUCAGUUGUCUAUUUGGAACUUAGUGUAGAUGUUCCUUCUAGUCCAGGGUUUCUUAACCCGGGAACUGUUGACAUUUGGUGCCAGGUCAUUCUCUGCUGAGUGCUCCGUCCUGUGUAUUAUAGGAUCCUCAGCAGCGUCGCUGGCCCCUGCUUGUCAGAGGCCAGCAGCAACUCCUGGACCCAAGAAGGCAUAAUGAAAAAGUGCAUCCAGGAGUUCCCAUUGUGGCUCAGUGGUUAAUGAACCCAACUAGGAACCAUGAGGUUGUGGGUUUGAUCCCUGGCCUUACUCAGUGGGUUAAGGAUCCAGCACUGGCGUGAGCUGUGGUGUAGGUUGCAGACGUGGCUGAGAUCCUGCUUUGCUGUGGCUGUGGUGUAGGCCGGCGGCUACAGCUCUGAUUGGACCCCUAGCCUGGGAACCUCCAUAUGCCGCAGGUGUGGCCCUAGAAAAAG